GGUGGAAUACGGGAUUUUGCAACCACAAUUGGAACUACAGAGAGCAAUCCGAUCAGCAAAGCCCACAGAGGACGGUAGAAGAACCAGCCAAUGGAGAUAGUCAGAAGUGACAGUGAGCUGGCCACACAGAAGGCAAAAGCUUUCAAUCCGAUGUUAACCAGAUCUCGAACAACAGGAAACCAGUCCACCAAAGUGUAAACAAUCCGGGUCAUUAGGCUGAUGCCUACAAACAUUGCCAGCCAGCCUGCUGCACGGAGGGCCCAGGUCUUCAUGGUGUUACUCUCAUGCUCCUUCUGAAACACCUCCUCUACAGAGAGAUCCCCAAAAUAGAGAAUCUGGAGAACAUCUCCAGACUUGGUGUGAUAUGGGACAAGUUGAUCACCUUUCUGCCGAGCAAUCACAGUCACCUUAUCGGCUGAGCCCAAGUGGGGGUCAUGUCCACUCAGACCGGCAUAGAAGAAUGAGACACGAAGGUCUCCCACUUCUGGACGCCUGGGGUUCUCGCUGUGGUAAAAAUAAUCUCCUCCCCGGGUAACAUCAGCAUGUGGAUCCUCAAGGUGUGCCAAGCUCAGCUGUUUGAAGUCAUCAAUCUUAUCCACAAGGCCUUUGGAAAGGACAAAGCUGCCAACCUGAACAUUAGGAGAAACAGCAGUAAAGGACUCCACAGCCAUGGCACUAGGAUUUUUGUGUCCUAUUUCUCGAUCAAAAUUCCUGCUGUUCACAACUUCGGGUUUCCAUUCAGUAUUGUAUGAGUACUUUGUCUCUUUCUUGAUCUCACCAUUUUCUUCAUACUCCCUGGAAUCUUCAUAUUCUACCCACUGGUACAUUUCCACUUUGCGCUUAAGCUUAACAGCCUGGAUGGACAGCCCAUAGCUGGGAUCAAACAAAGGCUUUGCUGUGCUCAGAGCGCCAGCUAAGUGCACCAGUCUCCCCUCAUUCUGUUGAGAAACGCUGUGAAUGUUGUCAAGAGGGAUCACAAGAGAAAGUCCCUCAUCAAGAGAUUUAGCUGUCCUCAAAGCUCGUCCUUCAUUGGUAAAAAGAAGGUAGAAGGACAGAAGAAAUGUCCCAAGUCCUAUGAGCAUGCCUCCAGAAGUCUCGCUGAGCCUCUCCAGGAACCCUGGCUUGGCCUCACUUGUGAUUUUGACAUGUUCUUUUUUGCUUCCUGUGUCAGAGAAAUUCCUCGACAUCUUCAGCCUCUUUCCCUCGCAGCCCAGAGAGCCCGCCGGCGACAACCGCUCGCCAGCAGCCACACCCACAGCCCCUCUCCUCAGGCUCUCCCCGCUCUGCCGCUGCCGCGGUGCACGCCGGGACACGUAGUUCUCACGCGACGCGCGCAAGGCACGCCGGAAGGCGUUGUCUAGCACCGGAGCGCGCUCUGCCCGGAUUGGCUGCU
Molecule: long non-coding RNA, 1393 nt
Filed under: Gallus gallus (chicken)
Lineage: Eukaryota; Metazoa; Chordata; Aves; Galliformes; Phasianidae
Source: RNAcentral